Molecule: ribosomal RNA, 1303 nt
Filed under: uncultured bacterium
Lineage: Bacteria
Description: bacterial SSU rRNA
Rfam family: Bacterial small subunit ribosomal RNA
Source: RNAcentral
UUCUUGUGUAUUUUAGUGGCGGACGGGCGAGUAACGCGUGAGCAACCUGCCCUUCAGAGGGGAACAACAGUUGGAAACGACUGCUAAUUCCGCAUAACGUGCCUUGAGGGCAUCCUCGAGGCACCAAAGAUUUAUCGCUGAAGGAUGGGCUCGCGUCCGAUUAGCUAGAUGGUGGGGUAACGGCCUACCAUGGCGACGAUCGGUAGCCGAACUGAGAGGUUGAUCGGCCGCAUUGGGACUGAGACACGGCCCAGACUCCUACGGGAGGCAGCAGUGGGGGAUAUUGCACAAUGGAGGGAACUCUGAUGCAGCAACGCCGCGUGAGGGAAGAAGGUCUUCGGAUUGUAAACCUAAGUUAUCAGGGACGAUUAUGACGGUACCUGAAGAGAAAGCUCCGGCUAACUACGUGCCAGCAGCCGCGGUAAUACGUAGGGAGCGAGCGUUGUCCGGAUUUACUGGGUGUAAAGGGUGCGUAGGCGGGCUGGCAAGUCGGGCGUGAAAUCCCGGGGCUUAACUCCCGGGCUGCGCUUGAAACUGUCGGUCUUGAGUGAGGUAGAGGCAAGCGGAAUUCCUAGUGUAGCGGUGAAAUGCGUAGAUAUCAGGAGGAACACCGAUGGCGAAGGCAGGUCUCUGGGCUGUAACUGACGCUGAGGAGCGAAAGCAUGGGGAGCGAACAGGAUUAGAUACCCUGGUAGUCCAUGCCGUAAACGUUGGGCACUAGGUGUGGGGGACAUUCCACGUUUUCCGCGCCGUAGCUAACGCAUUAAGUGCCCCGCCUGGGGAGUACGGCCGCAAGGCUAAAACUCAAAGGAAUUGACGGGGGCCCGCACAAGCGGCGGAGCAUGCGGAUUAAUUCGAUGCAACGCGAAGAACCUUACCAAGGCUUGACAUGAACCGGAAAGGCCUGGAAACAGGUCCCCCACUUGUGGCCGGUUUACAGGUGGUGCAUGGUUGUCGUCAGCUCGUGUCGUGAGAUGUUGGGUUAAGUCCCGCAACGAGCGCAACCCUCGUUCUAUGUUGCCAGCGGGUUAUGCCGGGGACUCAUAGGAGACUGCCGGGGUCAACUCGGAGGAAGGUGGGGACGACGUCAAAUCAUCAUGCCCCUUAUGUCUUGGGCUUCACGCAUGCUACAAUGGCCGGUACAAAGGGUUGCGAUACUGUGAGGUGGAGCUAAUCCCAAAAAGCCGGUCUCAGUUCGGAUUGAGGUCUGCAACUCGACCUCAUGAAGUUGGAGUCGCUAGUAAUCGCAGAUCAGCAACGCUGCGGUGAAUACGUUCCCGGGCCUUGUACACACCGCCCGUCA